UACAGAGGUGCCAAGCGUUAGGCGGAAUCACGGGGCUUAAAGCGUGUGUAGGCGGAUCGUUAAGUACCUUGUGAAAUCCCACGGCUCAACCGUGGAACUGCUGGGUAUACUGGCGAUCUUGAGCCACCUAGGGGCGAGCGGAACAAGCGGUGGAGCGGUGAAAUGCGUAGAUAUCACUUGGAACGCCAAUGGUGAAAACAGGUAGCUGGGGCUGUGCCGACGCUGAGACACGAAAGCCAGGGGAGCGAACGGG
This 253-nucleotide ribosomal RNA is filed under the name uncultured bacterium. RNAcentral describes it as "partial 16S ribosomal RNA". It matches the Rfam family "Bacterial small subunit ribosomal RNA", at positions 524 to 776 of the family's 1533-position model. The record is from RNAcentral.